Molecule: ribosomal RNA, 468 nt
Filed under: uncultured bacterium
Lineage: Bacteria
Description: partial 16S ribosomal RNA
Rfam family: Bacterial small subunit ribosomal RNA
Source: RNAcentral
GACGAACGCUGGCGGCGUGCUUAACACAUGCAAGUCGAACGGAAAGGCCCUGCUUUUGUGGGGUGCUCGAGUGGCGAACGGGUGAGUAACACGUGAGUAACCUGCCCUUGACUUUGGGAUAACUUCAGGAAACUGGGGCUAAUAACGGAUAGGAGCUCCUGCUGCAUGGUGGGGGUUGGAAAGUUUCGGCGGUUGGGGAUGGACUCGCGGCUUAUCAGCUUGUUGGUGGGGUAGUGGCUUACCAAGGCUUUGACGGGUAGCCGGCCUGAGAGGGUGACCGGCCACAUUGGGACUGAGAUACGGCCCGGACUCCUACGGGAGGCAGCAGUGGGGAAUAUUGCACAAUGGGCGGAAGCCUGAUGCAGCAACGCCGCGUGCGGGAUGACGGCCUUCGGGUUGUAAACCGCUUUCGCCUGUGACGAAGCGUGAGUGACGGUAAUGGGUAAAGAAGCACCGGCUAACUACGUG